Molecule: long non-coding RNA, 386 nt
Organism: Ictalurus punctatus (channel catfish)
Lineage: Eukaryota; Metazoa; Chordata; Actinopteri; Siluriformes; Ictaluridae
Source: Ensembl
UGGUUAUCACAGGAGUCAGUUGGUUAUCACAGGGGUCAGUUGGUUAUCCCAGGAGUCAGUUGGUUAUCACAGAGGUCAGUUGGUUAUCACAAGAGUCAGUUGGUUAUCCCAGGAGUCAGUUGGUUAUCACAGGAGUCAGUUGGUUAUCCCAGGAGUCAGAGAAAACGUGUCUUUUUUUCCCCUUUGUAUCGUAGAGGCUCCUGUAUGUUCUCAGGUUUGUGCAUGUGGACUUUUUCUCCAAUUCAAAUCGAGAGAGUAAGAAGGUCAUCAUGAAAUAUUUCAUUUCUGUACCACAGCAUUAUAGUGUGUGUUUGCUGCUACUACACCGAAAUUGAUUACUGUUCUGUAACAGCCCACCUCUAAUCCCUUUUAUCCCUCUUUUAUUC